GGCGGCGUGCUUAACACAUGCAAGUCGAACGGGAUCCAUCAAGCUUGCUUGGUGGUGAGAGUGGCGAACGGGUGAGUAAUGCGUGACCAACCUGCCCUGGAGUGGGGGACAACAGUUGGAAACGACUGCUAAUACCGCAUAAGCCCACGGCCCGGCAUCGGGCUGCGGGAAAAGGAUUUAUUCGCUCUAGGAUGGACUCGCGUCCAAUUAGCUAGUUGGUGAGGUAACGGCCCACCAAGGCGACGAUUGGUAGCCGGACUGAGAGGUUGAACGGCCACAUUGGGACUGAGACACGGCCCAGACUCCUACGGGAGGCAGCAGUGGGGGAUAUUGCACAAUGGGGGAAACCCUGAUGCAGCGACGCCGCGUGGAGGAAGAAGGUUUUCGGAUUGUAAACUCCUGUCGUUAGGGACGAAUCAUGACGGUACCUAACAAGAAAGCACCGGCUAACUACGUGCCAGCAGCCGCGGUAAAACGUAGGGUGCAAGCGUUGUCCGGAAUUACUGGGUGUAAAGGGAGCGCAGGCGGACCGGCAAGUUGGAAGUGAAAACCAUGGGCUCAACCCAUGAAUUGCUUUCAAAACUGCUGGCCUUGAGUAGUGCAGAGGUAGGUGGAAUUCCCGGUGUAGCGGUGGAAUGCGUAGAUAUCGGGAGGAACACCAGUGGCGAAGGCGACCUACUGGGCACCAACUGACGCUGAGGCUCGAAAGCAUGGGUAGCAAACAGGAUUAGAUACCCUGGUAGUCCAUGCCGUAAACGAUGAUUACUAGGUGUUGGAGGAUUGACCCCUUCAGUGCCGCAGUUAACACAAUAAGUAAUCCACCUGGGGAGUACGACCGCAAGGUUGAAACUCAAAGGAAUUGACGGGGGCCCGCACAAGCAGUGGAGUAUGUGGUUUAAUUCGAAGCAACGCGAAGAACCUUACCAGGUCUUGACAUCCGAUGCAUAGUGCAGAGAUGCAUGAAGUCCUUCGGGACAUCGAGACAGGUGGUGCAUGGUUGUCGUCAGCUCGUGUCGUGAGAUGUUGGGUUAAGUCCCGCAACGAGCGCAACCCUUAUUGCCAGUUACUACGCAAGAGGACUCUGGCGAGACUGCCGUUGACAAAACGGAGGAAGGUGGGGAUGAC
Molecule: ribosomal RNA, 1125 nt
Filed under: uncultured bacterium
Lineage: Bacteria
Description: bacterial SSU rRNA
Rfam family: Bacterial small subunit ribosomal RNA
Source: RNAcentral